Molecule: ribosomal RNA, 339 nt
Filed under: Ctenophora environmental sample
Lineage: Eukaryota; Metazoa; Ctenophora
Description: partial Bacterial large subunit ribosomal RNA
Rfam family: Bacterial large subunit ribosomal RNA
Source: RNAcentral
AAGGCGAACGAGGUGAACUGAAACAUCUUAGUAACCUCAGGAAAAGAAAACAAUAGUGAUUUUCUGAGUAGCGGCGAGCGAAAAGGAAAUAGCCUAAACCGAGUAUAUGUCAAGCCCGAAAGCGUUGUAUGCUCGGGGUUACGGGGUUUAACUGGACAUUUUUUCGGGACUGUCGGAGAGUUAUAAAUUUGGGAGAUAACUGAAGCUGCUGGAAAGCCGCUCCAUAGAAGGUGAUAGGCCUGUAAGUGAAAUCUUUCAAACUCUCUGAGUUAAAUUCCCAAGUACUGCGGGACACGAGAAAUCCUGUGGGAAUUUGUGAGGACCAUCUCAUAAGGCUAA